AUACGGAUGGUGCGAGCGUUGUUCGGAAUUACUGGGCGUAAAGGGCGCGUAGGCGGCGUGUCAAGUCAGAUGUGAAAUCCCACGGCUCAACCGUGGGCGUGCAUCUGAAACUGGCAUGCUUGAGUACUGGAGAGGAGUGUGGAAUUCCUGGUGUAGAGGUGAAAUUCGUAGAUAUCAGGAGGAAUACCGGUGGCGAAGGCGACACUCUGGACAGAUACUGACGCUGAGGCGCGAAAGCGUGGGGAGCAAACAGGAUUAGAUACCCUGGUAGUCCACAGCUGUAAACGAUGUGCACUAGGUGUAGGGGGUCGUUGACCCUUUCUGUACCGUAGCUAACGCAUUAAGUGCACCGCCUGGGGAGUACGGUCGCAAGAUUAAA
RNAcentral lists this ribosomal RNA (379 nucleotides) under uncultured bacterium. Its description in RNAcentral is "bacterial SSU rRNA". It matches the Rfam family "Bacterial small subunit ribosomal RNA", at positions 523 to 898 of the family's 1533-position model. The record is from RNAcentral.